UACGAAGGGGGCUAGCGUUGCUCGGAAUCACUGGGCGUAAAGCGCACGUAGGCGGCUUGUUAAGUCAGGGGUGAAAUCCUGGAGCUCAAACUCCAGAACUGCCUUUGAUACUGGCGAGCUUGAGUUCGGGAGAGGUGAGUGGAACUGCGAGUGUAGAGGUGAAAUUCGUAGAUAUUCGCAAGAACACCAGUGGCGAAGGCGGCUCACUGGCCCGGUACUGACGCUGAGGUGCGAAAGCGUGGGGAGCGAACAGG
Molecule: ribosomal RNA, 254 nt
Filed under: uncultured bacterium
Lineage: Bacteria
Description: partial 16S ribosomal RNA
Rfam family: Bacterial small subunit ribosomal RNA
Source: RNAcentral